GAUUGUAUGAGGUAUGCAAUUGUGGCUAAAUCUGCAGAAAAAAGGUUAUUAAAAUUAAAUUUGUUGAAGCCCUACUCACAUUUAGGGAUGACAAUGGCUAUCAGGACUUGCAGGUAAACAGGAUAGUUGAUGAUGCUUGGUUUGAUGCUUUAGGAGCUUAAAACCUGGAUUUCCUUAUGUUGCCAUUUUGUAUUAUGACUAAUUAAAUGCUAUUUGGAUAAUUGUAAUUCUGGAUGUUUGUAACUUCGGAUAUUUGUAGCUAUAGGUAUUUUGGAAACCCAUAGCUAGUUGUAUGCGGUAGUUAUCGGGUGAUAGUAAUAUGAAUUAUGCUUUUCUGCAAUUAAAGGUAGCAUGGUAUGAAACCGAAAUUGUAUGGUUAGAGUUAUUAGAUAAUUAAUGAAAUGGGUGACUUAAAAGGUUGAAGGAAAUGUAUGUAUGAUGUAAC
Non-coding RNA from Lupinus albus (white lupine), 445 nucleotides. The record is from the annotation of a GenBank genome assembly. Lineage: Eukaryota; Viridiplantae; Streptophyta; Magnoliopsida; Fabales; Fabaceae.